Molecule: long non-coding RNA, 709 nt
Organism: Canis lupus familiaris (dog)
Lineage: Eukaryota; Metazoa; Chordata; Mammalia; Carnivora; Canidae
Exons: 4
Source: RefSeq, a predicted model, not a curated record
CUUUCACUUCCGGGUUAAGGGGCGCGGGGGCCAAUAUGGCUGGCGCCGCCCGGCCGCCUCCUUCCUACGAGGAGAAGAACCGAAGCCUGUGACCCGAAGCCAAGAGGAGAAGCCGUGGCUGUUGCAGACACGCCAGCGAGAGCCCUCGUUUUCUUGAGCCACUAAACCAAGACCUACAACCGCCUCCCUCUGAGCUUUUCAUUAGAAAUAGAUCCACAUACAUGGAAAGGCUCCUGUGAAAGGAAUACUAAUUGCCGCAUUGUUUGCCUCAGCAAGAGACUGGAAUCGCCAACAUGACUAUCACCAGGGGCUGGUUAGAUAAAUGAUUAUAUUCAGACAAUGGGAUAUGUGAAGAAUGCUCUCCUACUGCUGAUCUGGAAAGAUCUCCAAGGUACAGGAGCGCUGUUUGUCCUGCAGUCUUGCCAGCACAAGGUGUUAUCUGACUUGGAUUUUUGCCAAUCUGAUAGAACGUCCAUAGUGCUGAGAGCUGCAGUCAAGUGGUCACACGUGUUAGAAAUUGCAGUGGAUGGUGGGACUUCCAAGAAAGGCCUUUGGUGUCUUCUUCAUUUUCCUUGUAAUUGCAAACAUGGCUGGAGCACAAGUAGCCGUUUUGUGACCCCGAGGAAGAAAGUUCUGUGCUAAAGAUGGAAGGGAACGGAAUCCCCGACAACAUCAUGAAGGUACCCCCCCUGCCCCUUUGAAUGCUGAC